GGCUGAUCCAAAGGUAGUGAGUUAUCUUAAUUGAUUGUUCACAGUCAGUUACAGAUCGAUCUCCUUGUUCUCUCUUUCCCUCCCUUCUCACUACUCACUCGACUAGUCUAAA
Y RNA from Sarcophilus harrisii (Tasmanian devil), 112 nucleotides. It matches the Rfam family "Y RNA". Rfam says of the family: Y RNAs are components of the Ro ribonucleoprotein particle (Ro RNP), in association with Ro60 and La proteins. The Y RNAs and Ro60 and La proteins are well conserved, but the function of the Ro RNP is not known. Lineage: Eukaryota; Metazoa; Chordata; Mammalia; Dasyuromorphia; Dasyuridae. The record is from Ensembl.